UCUAAGGAUGAAUGAAAGUAAAAUUUCAUUCUAAAUAAUACACAGGUUAAUGUUGACCGUCCUCGUUUCUCUUCUUAAAUUUAGUGUUUCUCUUCUGCAUUGGGGCCGGUAGCUCAGUUGGUUAGAGCACACCCUUGAUAAGGGUGGGGUCGAAAGUUCGAGUCUUUCUCGGCCCACCAAUAUAAAUGGGGGAUUAGCUCAGCUGGGAGAGCGCCUGAUUUGCAUUCAGGAGGUCAGCGGUUCGAUCCCGCUAUCCUCCACCAAGAAACACUUAGUUAUUCAAACUGUAAAUAAAAAUAAUUAUUAUCAAUAUCUAUAUCCGAACAUUAAUUUGUUAAUUAAUGUUCAAACAAAAAUUUGAUUCAACACAGAAUUUUUUUCUGUGCAUAAAU
Molecule: transfer RNA, 392 nt
Filed under: uncultured marine alpha proteobacterium
Lineage: Bacteria; Pseudomonadati; Pseudomonadota; Alphaproteobacteria
Description: 16S-23S intergenic spacer region
Rfam family: tRNA (bases 103-176)
Source: RNAcentral